CCUACAACAGCUUUCUCCAGCCUGACCUCUUCUUGAUGGAUACAGUACAUGAGCUGCACCUGCCUCAUCUCCAUCCAGAAUACAGGCUGGAGAAGGCUACUAAUGCACUGAAAGAAUAUGGGCACUAGAUGGCAGAAUAUCUUAAAAUAAAACAAAACAAAAAAUGAACCUUGAGGAACCCAAACAGAUUUUUGACUUUAAUACAACCUUGCCAAUCAAGCAAUGAUGGCAACUAUUCUCAACUAUCCGCUUGCCACGCCCACCAUCAUGCCCACCUGAGUCAACAGGGAUCCAGGAUGCUGGGAUGUUGGAAUGUCAUAGACGUCGUUUCUUUUCUCUGGAGCUGAUGCCCAAAUUGCUCUCGGAAGAGUGAAGAGGUGCUUGGGAGAAG
This is a long non-coding RNA of Pantherophis guttatus, 391 nucleotides long. RefSeq lists it as uncharacterized. NCBI's taxonomy places the organism in Eukaryota, Metazoa, Chordata, Lepidosauria, Squamata, Colubridae. The record is from RefSeq and is a predicted model, not a curated record.